UGUGUGUGUGAUCAGUGGUUCUCAACCUGU
This 30-nucleotide non-coding RNA is filed under the name Mus musculus (house mouse). The record is from RNAcentral. Lineage: Eukaryota; Metazoa; Chordata; Mammalia; Rodentia; Muridae.